RNAcentral lists this long non-coding RNA (8516 nucleotides) under Mytilus galloprovincialis (Mediterranean mussel). Lineage: Eukaryota; Metazoa; Mollusca; Bivalvia; Mytilida; Mytilidae. The record is from RNAcentral.
CAUUUAAUAAACAUGCUCUCUGCUAUUAUCUAUUAACAGGAAUUGAUCUAUAAGACAAAUGAUGUUACAACACUGGUUGUGAAAAGAAUAAUAGAUGAAAACAGAUGAUAACCAAGACUUCAAGAUCAAUAGAACUUGCAUUAUUUAAGAGCAGAAAUGUGAAAAAGAUGUGAAUCGCCAAACACAGGACAUUUCAUUUUGAAUUAUGUUAAGGAAUCUGGAGCCAAUCAAUACUUGGUGAGAUUGGAUUGUUUGCCGCAGCAUGGAUCAUGUAAGUAUUCGACCAUAAAUUAUAUGUUAGAUUUAUAGGCAUAAGGUCGUUAUGUUCUUGUAGUUGUCUUUGAUAUUCCAGAUUAUUAAGUUUGGCUUCCAUUAGAAAUUCAAUAUGGCUUCUUGGAUAGAAACCUCAUCUGUAUCCUCAACAUGUCACUUAUUAAUAUAACCUUCAACAGUUAAUGUCAGAAUAGUAGUAUUACUACUGCUAUUAUGUUAACUUCCUGCCUUUUUAUUUCUAUGGGAUUUCUAACAAUUGCUAUUGCUAAAUUUCCAUUAAAUGUAGUGUAGGCAAAUUGUUGGUACUAAGUGCAUUUUGUUCCAUAUAUAGUAUAGACCACCAGCGGGGAAACAUUUAAUCAAAUUGUUAUUGAAUGUGAUUAAAAUAUUUUAAGUUUGGAAUGAACAUUAGUUGAACGGUUCUGAUAUAAUUUCACUCUGCAUGCUAAAUUAAUUUUCCACUUACUGCAAAGUAUUCAACACAAAAGUAAAAAUAUUAAAUCACUUUGACAAAAUGAAAAAUCUGUUUUAUUAAAUUAUUAGGAAGCUGCAUUGUUGUUGUCAAAUAUAUCUCCAAUUUCAAUAUCAACAAUUUUACAAUGAAAAACAUAUAAGAGAAAUAUUUGUUUCUUCUGUUUGCCCCUGAAUUGCAAUGGUUGUCCUCUCUCAAUGAUAUAAUUUAAUAUUUUUUAUUAUGAUCAAUUACUGACUUGUUGAAGAUUACUAAAAUAGAACCCGUUAACUGUUUGUCUUUUAGCAUAAAGUCACAUAUACUUUGUAUCUUUACAUUGUUCCAAGAAUUUCAAGAAAACAUCCUCAAACAAUAUUUUCUGUCACCAUAUAUGGUAAUACAUUUAUACAUUUAUACCAAUAUUCCAAAUACCAAAUAGUCCUUUAAUAUAUGUUUUAAGAUAGAUUCAAAUACUAGCAACACCAUACCUGCCAACUUUUCAAAAUGCCCAUGGGGGUUUUACGUGCAAAAUGGCUCUAUAAUAGUCUUCAACUGUUCAAGGGGCCUUCAAAUAUAUUUUAAUGUUGUUUUUUGUCUUCUUCAUACUUUUACAAGCCUAUAGCCAUUGUAAAAUUAUUGCUUUGUAUAAAAUUGUGGACAAAUUUGCUCUUUCAAAAUUUGCAUGUGUGAGCCUCCAUUGGGGAAAUCCCUCGCAAAUAGUGACAGUUUGCAGGUAUGCAACACAAGACUAUACAGGUAUAUCAAUGCUCUACACUGAGUACAUAUGUCUUUAAAGAAACCUCUAUUAUAGACACUGAAAAUAUAUGUCUUAAAUGCAGUCAAAUGGUUAACUUUCUAGAUUUUACAACUUACUGAAAAAGAAGGAGAAUUUUUAUUUGAAGAACCCAAACUAAGUAUAAGAUAGUAUGCAUAAUUACCACAAUUCUGGUAAAUCUUUUCCCCUGUAGGACAUAUGAAACAUGUUGUUUGAAAUAGAACAAUUUAUUUGAUAUUGACAUCAGAAACUUGUGAUAUGACCAUAUUUUUUUGAAUAUGGCCACAUUUAUAUGAAUCAUCUAACAUCACAAAUGAAAUUGAUUACGUGUAUUUUUAUUAACUUUUUUUUACAUAAUAAUUCCAAAUAUUGUUGAGUUUUGUUUUUUAUGAUUUUUUUUGUCAGUAAUCUCUUAACUGCCCACGUAUGUCUGUUUCUCAUUUAUAUUUAACCAUUAAGCAGGAAAACGGGGGACAUAAGAGAUCAUAUUGUAAUUGUAAAGAGAAAGCGGAGAUUAAUAAUGCACUGACAUUUCAGAGUAUCAUGCAGUAUAUUACUUUUCUCAUUUUAAGUUAUACGUAGAAGUAAUAUAACUUUAUACCAAAAAUGAAACCUACAUCCUUAAAAAGAAAUUUCAUCUAUAAAAUGUCUAUAUAGGUUAAUUGUAAUAAUAAAUAAAAAAGUUGAAAAUGUUCAAAUGUUAAAUAUCUAAGUUAAAGGUCAACAAUUUUUUUUACAAAUAAAAAGAAGAAAAUAUCCUAAGAAACAUAAAAUUGUUUAGAUUUACAUUAGCCAGAGUUAUAGAAAAACGCACAGAAGUUUGAAGCUCUGCUCUCGAUUGUCAUAUUAAAGCUACUGUGUGAGGUUUGGUUGCUAUCUCAUUGACUUCUACACCAGGGUCAUCAGUUAUACAACUUAACUCCAUAUUCUGUGUACAAAAUUUGUGCUUGUAACACUAAGUCGAUAAUUUUGAUUGGUUGAUUUCUGAGUCUUGAGUAUGAUGAAAGUUCCUGCAUGGCAAAUAUCUACCUUCAUUCCUAUUUGUUAUUUCUAUCACAUGCUUUUGAAUCCAUUUUAUUAUCCUUUAGUCCCCAGAAGGUCACUAAAAGAACGGAACGUCCAUCUUUAUAUAUAUCUCUUCUGGUCUAAUUCAAGAAUAAAGAGGAGACAUUUUUUGAGCUAGUAAUAACAAGAUUUUGAAUUAUUUAAAAUAUUAUCUCAAAAGAAAUUUGUCUUUCAUGCCUGUUGCUGUUGUUCAUCUUGAAAUUCACCACCAAAUCAUCAAUAUUUCAACAGACAUUUUACCAAUAUAAGAAUCUCGAUUUGUACUUUUGCUUUAUGUCACUAGAUCUUUGAAUUAAUGAAAGUCAAUAAAUAUGGUUAUUGGUUUUCUUUCAAUAUAAGGUUACAUAACCAGAAAAUUAAUUCAGACAAUUUUCUGAUGGAAAUUAGAUUAAGAAGAAGGUUUUCAUUAAUCUUACAGUUAAUUACUUAUUUCUGAAAGCUGUAGUUUUGAAUGUCAUCUAAUCUUCAGCAUGAUCAACUAAUUUGAAAACAGUUUUUAAGAAUUAUACUGUGUAAUUAUUGAAAAGAAUGAACUUUUAUUUAAUUAUACAUUUAUUUUGGAGUGUGGUUAUUGGAAUAUCAAUUGAUGUAUAAUAAAACAUACAAAAUAUGCUAUUUAGUUACUUUAGAUGUCAGUUUGCUGUCUCAUUCGGCACGGGACGUUUGCGCUUUUUUUUUGUGGACACUUGCGCUUCAAAACAUAAGACAUUUGCGCUUUUUAAAAAUGGACAUUCGCGCUUUUUACAAAGGACAUUUGCGCUUUUUUUUUUUUACAUCUAUGACUUCCCUCCUCUUUUAUCCGGGCUUGGGACCGUCUUAGGUUUCAAAGUCAAAUUUAUCAUCACAAACUUCAACUAGCUUGGUAAAACAAUGAUGAUAUAUUUCUUCAGACUUCCCAGUCAACAGAAUAAAUACAAGGGGAAUAUAGUUCCCAUUUUUAAAUCCAUGAAUGGUAUAGAGCUGCUUAAAAAAUUUAGGGCAAAAUUUAAAUGUUCCGUCCAUAAAAAUUUCUUCAACAUAACACAAGCAUUCUAAAUUGGUUGUACAUGUAAAGAUGAUUAUUCCAUUUUCUCUGUCAUUGACUUGAAGAAAAUUUUCGAAUUUUGAGGUCUGUACAGGAUAACCUUCAAAGAGAGUGUGAACCUCUUCUCUUGACUUAGGCAAAUUCGGUUGGGAUUUCCUUCUCACUCUAUACAUUGCCUUUGAAACAGACUUUAAAUCCUUAGGAUGUAAAGAAUCCUCACCAACAUCUUUCAAUCCAGCACGAAUGAUUUUUGAUGGUCUCUGUGUGAGGUCGUCAGCAGCCUUUCGUUUUGCAUACACUCUUAGCUGAUGGCGCUCAAUUUUUCUGUCGUCGCAUUGUUCAUGAUUGUGAUCAUUUUUCUGACUCAAAAUAUUAGAAGUCCCAUUGUUCGUUUUUAUUCUUGCAUUACAAUUUUUUAGGGUACAUCUCCAUGAAAGGUCUCCAAUUUUUUAACGAUAUAAAAAUCCAUCAAGACAUAUACAUUGUUUUUCCUUUACUAGUCACUAUAACUUUAAACUCCAUGACCAAGACUGUAAAUGUGAACUAACUAAUGACAAAUAUAGGUUAAAUUUAUUCACAUAUUGAUUACUUCUAAUUAAGAUUACAGGUAGUCGACUAUAGGUAAAAAGCGCAAAUGUCCGUCAAUUUAAUACAGGUGAAUCAAAAUUAAAAGCGCAAAUGUCCAUAGUAUUUGAAGCGCAAAUGUCCUAUCGUUUUACAGGUAAAAAAGUGCAAACAUCCUGUGCCCGUCUCACUGAGGUCUUACACUACAUCUCCUUUUAUUUGUAAAAAAAAUAAAAUUGUCCUCAAUUUAGGGUAAUCAUCAUAUCUUCCUAGAAAUUAAUUGAUUUUAUUGACUGGUAGAUUCCAUACACUAGAGCAAUGUUACUGCCAGAAAAAUUUUUUGAAAAAUUAUAUAUAAAAAGAAAAAAAUCGACAUUCCCAGUGUAUGUUUUAGUCCAAAUAUUAAACCCUUUUAGGGAACCAUCUGAAAAAAUAGGUAUGAUUUAAAAAUUAAUGUGAACUUGAAAAAAGAAGUUGGCAUUUCCAGCCCAAAAUAUGGACAUGUUUUACAAGAACAUUUAAGAUCUGAAAAUCUCAUUGCAUUCCAAUACAUGCACAGGCACUUGUCUAUGAAUUUUGUUUACCUAUAUUACAUAAUGUAAUAUUAGGAUGACUAUAGCUAUAUUUUUUUCUGAGACAAGUGCCUGUGCGAGACAUAGUAUGAAAUUAAUACAAGCUUAAAAGAUUUACAACUCAAAAUAUAUUAUUUAAUGAAAGAAGAGUUUUGGAGACAAGUUUUUUUAAAAAUAAUUAAGUGGACAGAUCAAACAUAUAUCUAUGAAUUUCAUCUAAAAUGUAGAGAGUUAUUAUAGGUAUUGACUAUUAUUGAGGGUUGUUAAAAUAGAUUUACUUGAAAAUUUCAAGUUUAUGGUGUGUUAUCAGUCUUUAACGGAAAACAUUACAAUGAAAUUUAUUGCAAACAUACAUUCCUCUUCACAGUGAUUGAUGUAUUUUCUUCUUGUGAAUUAUAAUAUAUUUGUUUUCUGUGCAACCUUUGAGACAACUUCAAUUUCAUUGCAUAUUUAAGUCAACAUACUUUUGUUCCACUAACUUCUAGAAAUAAUGUUUGACAAAAAUCUUAUCUUUAUAUAUAAAACAAGUGGAUAAUGCAUUUGUAAAGACAGUGUUACAUGAAAUGUGAGCAGUGCUAUAAAACAAUUAUCAUCACCAAAAAAAUAUAUGGGUAAAAAAAACGUAAAAUACAUUUGCUUUCAUGUAUAUAUAUUUCAUUAAUUUUUAAUGGAUUUAUCCUUUUCCAGACCUGUUAUUUUUAUUUAAUCAACGUGUGAUUCGUUUGAUAUCAGUAUUUCAUUGGUCAAAAUUUGAUUAUGACAUAAAAUUUUCUUUCUUUCCUCUGGAAAUCCUAUUGUGAGAAUUUGUGACACAUGAACAGAUGUGACCAUGCCUGAUGAAGUCACCUCAAAAGAACACAUCUUUUUGCAAAUGAUUAAAAAAGAAUGAUUUUAGGAUUGUCAGCAUAUCGUCUUUAAUCAUUAGAGAAACAAGAUUCCACCCAAAUCUCUUGUAAUACGAUAUGUAUUAUACACUCUCGACAGUUAAAUUUUAAAGUCUUACCCUUAUAUUGCAUUAUAUAGUAACAUUGCAACUAAUCUUUAAUGACGGGCAGAUAUUGAUUAAACUUUACAGUCAUAGAAUUCGAAAAUAUGCAUAUAUAGGAAUAUAUUUUCAACAUGGGAGAUAAUCAAAUUUAUGGGGUGGGGAUAUCCUUUUGUUAGUUCUAGUUUAAACAAACAUCCAAACAUAGGGAGAGGAUAGAUAUGACUAUUCCGGAUUGUUUAUCAUUUGUUUAACGCCUAUUAAAUAUUCUUUUAUCUGACAAAGUAAAUAAAGCAGAAUUAUUGGUUGUAUGUUGUGUCUAUUCAUGUUUUACCAUAUCAUACAGGUGUUUUAAUUAAUUUAUACUCCAAAAACAUGCAUGGCUACAUUUUGAAACUCAAUAAUUUAAGAACUUUUCACAGAGGUUUCAUUCAAUAACCUCAUUCAAUGUAACACGAUAAGCUGUUUAAUUAUUGAUAUGAUGUUUGUAGGAAUAGUUGAUUUUGAACAACAUAUUGCCACCAAAACGCUUUCUUUGAGUAGUUGAUACUUAGUCAGCAGUAUUGGUUGAGCUAGAGCAGUACAUUGUUAGCUCAGUCGGUUAAAGCCUGACUUCUAACACAUAGGUCCUUGGUUUGAGUUCCCUUUUUGAUUUUCUAGUAAUAAUCAUACUGGAUGGUUAAAGGAGAAGGUUCACCAAGGGUUAAAAUUGACCCUAUUUUUUUUUAUGUUUUUUAAAUCGGGACAAAAUAUUACAAAUUUCACAGACAUACUUGUGAUAAUACUAUUAGAAAAAAAAAAAUUUUGGCACCUUCUUUUAAAAUUCAUGAAGCUCUGAAAUUAUUUGUAUCUUAAUGUCAAUUUUGGUAAAAAAAAUCUAUUAUUUUAUUGUUUUUGGCAUUAAUAACCUUGGCCGCCAUCCACUUUCCAAAAAGUUUUUAUAUUGAUUAAUUCUAUAUCAAAAUUGGAAUCUUUUGGUUACAACACAUUUUGGAUCGUAUGUGGCAUCUAAGCUUUUUAGGUCUGAAAAUUGCACAAAAUCAUCAUAUUUUGUGACAAAAUGUCCAAUUUUGGCUUACUUUGGAGGUUAUUAUGUUUAAAUAUGACAUGAAUAGUUGAGUAGCAGAUACUUAACCAACCAUACAAUAGAGCUUGGAAAGAACUUUUUAAGCCCAGUUGGUUAGUACCCUAACUUGUAAAACAGAAGUCCCUGAUUCAAGUCCCUUGGAGACACAUUUGGAGAAUCGUACUUUCCAGUUACAAAAUAUUAGUGAGUCAUUAAGACAGAAACCAAACAAAAACAUUUCAUAUAUCAAAAUCCUUAUUGAUGUUUUUUGUUGUUCUCUCAGUCUAUAUAUUGCUAAUUGAUAACCUUAUUACAAAAAGUCCAAGCUCAUCCUCAAUAUGCACUGAGUAUUUGCCAAUGGAUGUUGAGCAAAUAAUAAUCAACAACCAAUUAAAAGAUCAAGGUGUAGAUAUUUUAAAUAUUUACUUUAUACAUCCCUUGUGGAAUCAUUUAUAAUCCAAAUGGCUGAUUUCCUGUAAUGUUAUUAUAAAGCACUGUUUGUACAUGUUGUGGGAAAGUCUAUAAAGAUCUAAUACAUAUAGUAGCUAUAAUUGUAGAAUAUUAGAGUCCAUUUCACUCAUAUGAACUCAUAUUUAAACAAUAAUGAGGAGGUAUGUUAUUUAAUUGCCAUAUCCUCAAUAGAGAAAAGGGACUUGAAAUAUUUAUGGAAAUAUUCAUUUCUUUCCUUGAACCUGUGUCCAAUACUGCUAUUAAAAAAGCCUAUACCGGUAAGUGGAUUUUCAUGAAUUCUAGAAUAGACAUCUUUUUCCAGGUUCUAAUUCUCACUUUAAAAUGAGUUAAUAAUCUUUUGGGUGUUAUACUACUUACAAGUUGGAAGUUGAAAUUGUUUAAUGUGAAAAUCUCUAAAGAAAAUCUAUCUUAAUAAAAAAAAUCAUAGGUAUUGAUGAUAAUUCAUCAAAUAUUUAUCUUGACUCUUGACGGAAUGUAAUAAGUUUUAAUUUUGCUUUUCCUCUUCAAAUAAACUUUCAAAAUUAAAUAUGAACUAAUCAAAUUCUUGACUUUAUUCUCUAUAUUUCUCUUUUGUGAUAAAAUCUUUCUGAUAAUAAAACAAUCUUGUUGAAUAAUGUGCAAAUUACUGUACUGAAAUUAAAGACUUGUAACACAAUUUAAGAAGUCACAGCAUCUCCGCUUGUCAUAACUUAGAUAUAAUCAAUGAUCUUUCCAGGAGAUUGAAAAUCAAAGUUUUUUGGUGCUUAAAUAUGCUUCAUAAUGCAUACACAUCAAUAUGACAGUUUUCCAAAUUAAAAAACAACGAUGUGUGACAGCAAUUGAUUACCAAAAUAUAUAGGCAGCAAUUACAUCUGAAUCACACCAGAUAUUAAUUAGAUUAAAGUUUUCCACUACUUUAUUUUAACAUGGAUUGUUCAUUUAUAGUUUUAAUUGAAUUAUUUUAUGUAACAAUUCAUUUGUUUUUUUACAGAUUUAUGUGGAGAAUUUAACUAUGAGUUGAUUGGUUGUAGUGAAAUAGUCAUCCAUUAGAAUUCACGGAGCACUUUUAUAAAAUCUUUAUGUUAUACUCCAGCACAAACAGUGCAUCAAUAGCAAUGAUAUAUCCUGAAGUGCCAGAAGUUAGGUGUAAUCAAUAAUUUUCUCCGAACUCUGAUUACAUUUAUGGAAUAGACAACUAUAGACUCUUGCACAAACAGCAUUGGUCGCACAACGAUAUGAUUUUUUAUGGUAAUCAUAACUACAGUUUUAUUAAAAAGCAGUUACAUCAAAG